UCUUGACGUGCUCGAGCGUGUUGAAAGUCUAGUCUUGCGUUCGAUCAAAGAUGUUCAACUGCCUUAUCUGCCGAAUCCACACCCCAGGUGUAACGAUGUGCUACACCAAAUGUCAGCAUUUUUUCCAUCACAAGUGUCUACAGGAAUGGAUUGCUUUGUGUAGCGCCACAGGUAGAGGAGAAAUAUGUCCUGUCUGUUGCCGACCUGUCCUGAUUGAAGAUAGUAUUGUGGUUCAAACUUCCCAAGAAGACUGACUUUGUCUUAAUAGAAAUGUAAAGUACUUCUGAUCUUAAUGCAUAAAGGUACUUUAUAAAUUUUCA
Thrips palmi is the source of this 320-nucleotide long non-coding RNA. RefSeq lists it as uncharacterized. The transcript is spliced from 2 exons. Lineage: Eukaryota; Metazoa; Arthropoda; Insecta; Thysanoptera; Thripidae. The record is from RefSeq and is a predicted model, not a curated record.